GUCGGUACGUGUACCGGUCUGACUGUACCGUAAGAAUAAGGAUCGGCUAACUCCGUGCCAGCAGCCGCGGUAAUACGGAGGAUCCGAGCGUUAUCCGGAAUUAUUGGGUUUAAAGGGUGCGUAGGCGGCGGGAUAAGUCAGGGGUGAAAUUCGGCAGCUCAACUGUCGCAGUGCCUUUGAUACUGUUUGGCUUGAAUUCGGUUGAAGAUGGCGGAAUGAGACAAGUAGCGGUGAAAUGCAUAGAUAUGUCUCAGAACCCCGAUUGCGAAGGCAGCUAUCUAAGCCGUUAUUGACGCUGAUGCACGAAAGCGUGGGUAGCAAACAGGAUUAGAUACCCUGGUAGUCCACGCCCUAAACGAUGAUAACUCGAUGUUGGCGAUAUACAGUCAGCGUCUUAGCGAAAGCGUUAAGUUAUCCACCUGGGGAGUACGCCGGCAACGGUGAAACUCAAAG
RNAcentral lists this ribosomal RNA (453 nucleotides) under uncultured bacterium. RNAcentral's name for it is "bacterial SSU rRNA". It matches the Rfam family "Bacterial small subunit ribosomal RNA", at positions 452 to 906 of the family's 1533-position model. The record is from RNAcentral.